Molecule: long non-coding RNA, 777 nt
Organism: Mus musculus (house mouse)
Lineage: Eukaryota; Metazoa; Chordata; Mammalia; Rodentia; Muridae
Product: predicted gene, 53740
Exons: 3
Source: RefSeq, a predicted model, not a curated record
GAGUCUUGGCUCCGGAGGCUGUAUAGGUUCAGGAAGCUGCAAGCUCAGUAGAGCCAGCCGGGAAGAAGACAACAGAGCUGGUGCUGGACCCUUUGAUCCCCACAAAGAAACCAAGCCAUGGCUGAAUGAAGGUGGACCUUUACCAAGGAGCUCAUGGCUUUAGCUGUGCCUUCUCCAGAUGUCUUCAGCUAAGGAGGAAUCGGAGAAACAGGGCAGCCCGCAGAGACCUGCUCCGAGGAAUAACAAGGCAUGAUGCAGAAGCAGUUUUCAGAGAGAGAGGAAAGGAUAAAGGAAUGAGGGCCCAGUUUCAUUUCUGAUGUGUUAAAAAGCUGGGCUCAGAAUCCUCCUAGAGUCAUAGGAAUGGGUACCCUGAAACAAACGUGCCUUUGAUACCCAGGCAUAACAGCAGCCAGCAGCUUCCCUCAGAUAACAUGAUUGAUGGACCCCCAGUUCUCAUCCUCCAAGCCUUGGACCAGAGCGGUUGCUUUAAACUGGGAAGACAUCACACUGAAUUAGCAGUAAAUGUAAUUAAGAGCUCUGACAGUCAACUUCCUGAAAGCCCUCCAACUGGAACACGGCUGGGCAAGAGUACCUGCUCUGCCCCUGAAUUAAGGCUUCUCCAGGGCUUGCCUACUUGUGUUUAUAUGAAACACAGUUCAUUUUAAUACCAACCCUGGUUAUAUGCCAGAAUAAAACCUAUGCAAAGAAACAUCCAUGACAUUGUAUGUUUUCUUCAAAAAUAAUGACAGGUUUUAUCUACUGCAUACCUGGGUAUCC